AUGUGCUCAUAUUCACACAGGAAUGGGCUUCAGCCCCUGCGAUGGGGGGCAGGUCCCCCGCAGGCUGGGGGUGCUCCCUCCUGCAUUUCCAGGCUGAAGGCACGGCACAGGCUGGGGGUCUCUGAAAUGCAGCUGCUGACAGCAGAGGCACAGCGGCACAGGCUGCCGUCCCUCCCCUGCAUGCAGGGUGCAGGAUGCGGGAGGGAAAGCUUAAAUGAGUGGCUGCCGGCUCCUUUGGUGGAGCUGCACCUUUCCUGUGUGCCUGGAGAUCGCUGUGAUUUGGGCUUACAUCUUGGGUGUGAUUUUCUGUCAGGAUUCCUGAAUUGCCUUUGUUCUGUCCGUGUCUCGGAGGGGCUCGGUGUGCCGGGGGGUGUGUUUGUGUUCCAGUCAGAAUAUGGUCGCUGUCUCUCUCCUUCCCUGUCUCUCCCCUUCCCUAAAUAUGUGCCAUACGUGUCUGUCCAUGCACUGCUCACAUCAGUCUGUGUAAUGUGGAGUGAAACUUCAGGGCUCAAAAUGGCAUCCGUUUUUUUGCCGGAUCAGACUUGCAGCUGUCGUGUUAGGACAAAAUGGGAUAAAUUGUGCCCUAUUUCCAUUUUUUUUUGCGUUUGCCCUCCUAACGUCUGCAAGCUCUGUAUUUUCCUUUGUCUGCCAAGGCUGAGGGAGCGGACUUGGAGCGGGUUGGGCAGUGGGCGUGAGGCUGUGCGGGACCUGGGUCUGGCUCAGGCAUUCGCAGCUCUGCAGGGCUCUGGGCAGGGCUGCAGGGGCCGCGUCUCGGAAGCCCCCGCGGGGCGGUCGUGGUCUCUGGUGCUGCCGCCUGGGGCGGGGGUGCCGGUGGGUGUGCAGAUCCCCCUGGGGAGCAGCACCCUCCUGGCAGAGAGGGGCUUGUGGCAGCUCUGUCACCCCCUUUUUUCCCAGCCUCGUGCUUCCUGCUGCCUGGGGCUUUACGCUGGAAGCAGCAUUGGGAUCUUCUGUCUUGGCCCCACCUGGCAGCACCGCUCACGCUCCAUUUAG
This 1011-nucleotide long non-coding RNA is filed under the name Anas zonorhyncha (Eastern spot-billed duck). RNAcentral describes it as "lncRNA (ENSAZOG00000007145.1)". The record is from RNAcentral. Lineage: Eukaryota; Metazoa; Chordata; Aves; Anseriformes; Anatidae.